Paramuricea clavata is the source of this 538-nucleotide non-coding RNA. Lineage: Eukaryota; Metazoa; Cnidaria; Anthozoa; Malacalcyonacea; Plexauridae. The record is from the annotation of a GenBank genome assembly.
UCUCAAGUGAAAACAGUAAAUUUGAAGGCCUCAGUGCUCAACACCGCUAUGUCGACUAACUCUGGUCGACUAUGUUCCUAGGUACUAAAGUAACUAAACUCUGCUAUUUUGAAAUAUUUUCUCCAUCGUCUCCCCCCCCCCCUGUGCAUAUGCAAGAAUUAUCAUAAAUUAUUAGAAAUUCAAUUGUCACGGGGGGUUGUGCAUUGUUUGAACAUAUUUAGACAAUUUAGUAGUGUUGUACAGUGAUAGUUCUGUAGCUGUGUUUUGUACUAUAAAUUUGACAGGUUUUUGGAUAAUUUUUCUAUAUUUCUAACACGAAAAUGUGAAGUUUAAUUGUAUAGUCUUAUUGAGUAGCUACAAAGGAUAUAUUUUUGCUUCAAAUCUUUUCCAAAGCAGUUUGCUAUGACAGUAAAUUGUCGAAAUCUUUUAAAUCCAUGACAACACGGUCUAGUGCGGCGUUUACCGAGGGCCAAAAGAAGGAUGCUUUACGGCUUGCCAAAGGAUUGUUUGAGUCCAAAGGUAUGUUGUUGCUUUAAGC